RNAcentral lists this ribosomal RNA (489 nucleotides) under uncultured bacterium. Its description in RNAcentral is "partial 16S ribosomal RNA". It matches the Rfam family "Bacterial small subunit ribosomal RNA", at positions 30 to 506 of the family's 1533-position model. The record is from RNAcentral.
AUUGAACGCUGGCGGCAGGCCUAACACAUGCAAGUCGAACGGUAACAGGAAGAAGCUUGCUUCUUUGCUGACGAGUGGCGGACGGGUGAGUAAUGUCUGGGAAACUGCCUGAUGGAGGGGGAUAACUACUGGAAACGGUAGCUAAUACCGCAUAACGUCGCAAGACCAAAGAGGGGGACCUUCGGGCCUCUUGCCAUCGGAUGUGCCCAGAUGGGAUUAGCUAGUAGGUGGGGUAACGGCUCACCUAGUCGACGAUCCCUAGCUGGUCUGAGAGGAUGACCAGCCACACUGGAACUGAGACACGGUCCAGACUCCUACGGGAGGCAGCAGUGGGGAAUAUUGCACAAUGGGCGCAAGCCUGAUGCAGCCAUGCCGCGUGUAUGAAGAAGGCCUUCGGGUUGUAAAGUACUUUCAGCGGGGAGGAAGGGAGUAAAGUUAAUACCUUUGCUCAUUGACGUUACCCGCAGAAGAAGCACCGGCUAACUCCGU